Molecule: long non-coding RNA, 3738 nt
Filed under: Triticum aestivum (bread wheat)
Lineage: Eukaryota; Viridiplantae; Streptophyta; Magnoliopsida; Poales; Poaceae
Description: long non-coding RNA (TAES_LNC005830)
Source: RNAcentral
UAUACAAGCUCUAAACAGAUUCAAUUAUUAUCCCCACAUCCAGAAGCAGGUUCAAGAUGAACACAUAUUGUACAACAAUGAAAUAUAUUCACAAACGUUCAUAUACAUUGAACACAAGUUGACAAACACAUCAAUCUUGACAAAGCAUAGUUUUUACCAUCUUAAUAAUCACCCAGAACACACAAGUCACAAAAAGAUAGCAUUAUUUGCUGGUAUGAGAAACUUCAACUAGAUGAUCCAGUACACACAAGUCUGUAUCCACAUGCACAAAAUGCAAGCUCCAAAAUAACCAAAUCACCAAAUGGUCUACAACACAUAAGAUCCAUGAUUACAAGUUGGUUGGUCCAUAAACGCUGCAAAGUCAUCACGUCCAUGUGCACCAGUUGGCUAAGUACCUGGAAUUUUUGACAAAAAUUUGUCAAGAAAGUGUAAUCAGCUCAAGUUGUUCAAAACUCAUUUAUGGAUUAACACAGUCAAUCAAUAAAUCCUCAUGAUAUCAACGGCUCACAUGGUACUAUACAGAACUAUGUUCAUGUGCUUGCAGUUUUAUCAACAAUGAAGGUAUUGACCAUCUGAAACAGAGAUCAUACAACCCAGUAGCUUAUUUUAUAGUCUAUUACAUAAGCAUUCACUGAAGAAAAGACAAACUCCUUCGCAACCUCUCUAGAUUUUCAUGAUUAAGAGCUACAUAACCUCCCACGGGAAAGAGGAAGCGUCCAGUACGGAAAAACAAAAGAAGAGUCCGGCACCUAACCCCCCACGCACAAGAUAAGCGCCCUAGCAUGUGAAAGAAAAAAACAGCCUGGACUCCUAUUUGAUGUGCCCUGUGGAUUUAAAAAAAAUACUAGCUCUACCAAAUAGAUAGUCCGAACAUUAGCGUUCUAUCAUAAUACAGUCUGUAUUGCUUAGUGCGUCAUGUUUAACUCAGACAUGGGUUUCACAAAAAGAAUAGCUCUACCAAGUAGAUUUGCACUUAUACAAAUCAAACUUAUAGUGACGACAAUGAUAUUAGGAGAUACUUAUUUUAUCUAAUGAAGUAUCUCUCUUCGCAUUCUUUUUAAAAAUAAAGCAUGCCUACAAUACAUUUGUUUUCAACAUAGUGCAGACACACACGCUCAUACAUACGCACAUACACGUAUCCAUAUAAACGCACGCACGCGCACCCUACCCCUAACCACCCAAUCACAUGUUGGUUCGCACCUACAAUAGAAUUUUAACUAUAAUAAAUCAUGCAUGGACGACUAAGUACCAAAAUAUGUGCGCUUAGUGUCAACAUCUAUCAUCAUGUUAUGUACAACAAUACCAUGUAGGCUUAUGUUGCAUUGCCAUGCUAGGUAACCAAAGAGGUGCAGCCGUGCCAACAAAGAUCUGGAUACCAGCAAAAGCAUCUAGACUUAUGACACCAGAAUAUUUUUCCUAAAAAACAGCAGGAUCAUAUUUCAUAGAAAUACAAACGCAUACCAAGGGAUCACUUUGAACUCUAGGAAAAAAUUCAACAGACCCAUGCAUGGACAUGUAUAUAAAUUGUCUAACAGUCAAAUACCUAUAAAAGGGAGACGCUCAUGGACAACCGCAUACUACUAAUCAGCAAGGCAUCUCUCGCUGCAAUCAUUGGCCUAUUUUCAUUCACGUUGCAACCAAUUAGCUUGGCCAAAUGGAUGCGUAAACUGGAUUGGUUGGCUUUGGGAAGACCCCUAUUGGUUCAGGCCCCUAUUGCUUCUGUUCUAAUACAUAGUUGCUUUGGCAAGACAUCAGUAUGAAUAAAGCCGAUAAAUAUAGUAUGCAUGCAGAUAGAUCCUACAUACAGAGAAACAAAUCAUGUCAUCUUGUAACUUCUAAACACACUAAAAGGCUAAAGGAAUACCUUAGAGAUAAUUGACCAUGAUACCUACACUUUGUUCAAUGCCCUUCUCGGAUUUGUCAUCCAUCCAGUUUAUUCUCUCAACCAUCUACCAUAAAAUAAAAGUGGUGUUCAGCUAUUACGUAAUGCCCAGUGAAUUGAUUCAAAUACCGGUCAUGAGUUGCACAAACAUUAGCAGAGCAUUUCCUAAUACAACCAGUGAGCCACAGUUACAACGGCUAGUGUUGGUAGUAGUGAAUUUAAAUUACACAUGACGCAAUCACAGGACAAACUGAGCCAUUCAGUUGCAAACUACGCUCUACACUUUGAAAUAAGCCAUUUGGGGUGCAGAUACGUACUUAAAUGGCAAAGAGCUUGGUGUUCAAGUUGUGGGAGUUGUGCCGAAUGUGGAUUGGUCGCAGACACAUCUCAAGGUUGUUCUGUAUAUCCCACCCACACUAUCAGAUCAGCUGAAACAAAGCAGCCCAAUUUCAGAUUAGAGAGUUAAAAGUAGGCACAUAAACCAUAGCAGUAGUAUAAGGGGCUCAUGGAGAGUAAGAAGAAGAACCAGUGCCUAUUCAGUUCCAAGUGGACUCGCCACGCGUUGACUGAAAAAUAGCUCAUCUGCCAAGAUAGUAAGGUGAUACAUAUUAAAAUUGUUUGUGAUAAACUGAACCUUCAUUUCUUGGGCCUAGUUUAAAAUGAUGGACUAGUUGAACUGGUUAACAAAAAGGAAAUCCUGGACAAGCAUCAGGAUGGCAAAAUGAUGGAUCCAUCCAUUCCAUUUGCUGACUUACCACGUCAUAUCCUCAAAUGGCUUGUAUAACAUAAAUGAGGGCCCAACGGUGCCAGCGGCAUGCCUCUAGCACAAGCUGAAAAUAAAACAAUGAAGCUUAUCAUCAUAUAAUUAUAUGCCAGUGAUAAACUUGCAUGGAGCCACAUACUGAAUCUAAAGGAUUAGGGAGUUGUGUUUUUGUUCUUCUAUUCAGAUUGGCCAAACAAAGGUGAAGACAUGACAUAAAGCAUAACCAUGUUGUAGAUCAGCAAUCAAGCUUACAUGGCAACAAUAAGAUCCAGUGAUAAUAAGUUCCCAAGGUUUACAUAGGAUUUAGGGUGUAAUAUUCAGAUGUUUCAAACAAGUGUUAAAACAGGACACCAGACCAACAAUUUCCUACAUGUCCAUUCAUUUUCACAAUGACAUAUAUAUGCCAUUGUCUCGAUGACAUUUUAUAUGCCAGUGUCUUUCUUGUGUCUCCAAAUUAAAAUCAAGGUUCACUUUUAUAAUAUUUUGUUGAACUUCACGCACCAACAGAAGUAUUACUGGAUGCCUAACAAAAUAGUCGCACAACACAAUUAACCAAAUAAAGUAGCUGAAAAUUUUCACAGAGAACUAAAUGCAUUAAUAGUCUGCAAUGACAACAAUAGUGCAUCAACAUUAGAGUUAAACCAGAUCCAUAAUAGAGUAACUGAAAAUUUUCAGAUCCACAACAUUUUUAGAGAAAUAAAGCAUCACAUAACAGACAAGAGCUUGUCAGACCAAACUAAUAGAUAUAACCAACUAGGCAGGCACAUGAGAUGGCAGAAGAUAAUUUUUCCUGCGAUGCAACAUACCACAUAUGGAAUCUUUCCCUGAGAGGAAGAAGAGGAGGGCGCUGUCUUGGUCCUUCCAGAGAGGAAGAAUAGGAAGGAUCUUUCCCCGAGAGGAGGAAGUGGAGGGCGCUGUCUUGGUCCUUCGAGAGGGCUAGCGGUGGUCGGUGAAGGCCCCGGUGGACGGGGCUGUCGGUGGCCGCGUCACUAGGGAAGGCAUGCAUCGAUGUGGUUAGGGGAUCUGGGUUAUGCUCACCGCCGGCGGUGGGGACUCGGGCAGCGAAGGGACAAAGGAAGGUAGGCGAUGGAGG